RNAcentral lists this unclassified non-coding RNA (334 nucleotides) under soil metagenome. RNAcentral's name for it is "partial contains 5.8S ribosomal RNA, internal transcribed spacer 2, and large subunit ribosomal RNA". The stretch from base 1 to 120 matches the Rfam family "5.8S ribosomal RNA", at positions 35 to 154 of the family's 154-position model. The record is from RNAcentral.
GAUGAAGAACGUAGCGAAAUGCGAUAAGUAGUGUGAAUUGCAGAAUUCAAUGAAUCAUCGAAUCUUUGAACGCACAUUGCGCCCCUUGGUAUUCCAUGGGGCAUGCCUGUUCGAGCGUCAUUUGUACCUUCAAGCUUUGCUUGGUGUUGGGUGUUUGUCCAUUCUCUUGCAGAGGGACUCGCCUUAAAGUAAUUGGCAGCCAGUGUUUUGGUUUUGAAGCGCAGCACAAGUCGCGAUUCAACGCUAUACGCCAGCUUCCACAAGCCUUUUUCACUUUUGACCUCGGAUCAGGUAGGGAUACCCGCUGAACUUAAGCAUAUCAAUAAGCGGAGGA